GAACAACUGACAGGUACUCAAGAACAAGACAGCACUGGGAGAAUUCUAAGACAGAGAUGAGGGUGAAGCACCCCUCCUGCACCUCAGAGACCAAGACACAUGCAUUAGAAGGGUACUUACAGAAGAGACUUGAAAGCCUAUGUCGGUACCAAGACUUGUACAUGAAUGUUCAUAGCAGCUUUAUUGUAACAGCCAGAAACUGGAAACAACUCAAAUGUCCAUCAACAGGUGGUAGCACUGGUCUUGCUGGACUCCUCACUCCCUUGCUGGCUUUGAGGAAGCAAGCAGCCAUGCUGGGAAAGCCCAUAUGACUAGGAACUGUGAAUGGCCUCUAAAAGAUGAAGGGCACCCCCAGCCUCCAGCCAUCAAGACAUUGAAAGUCCCACAGGCACAAGAGACUGAAUCUGCCAAAAGCAUCCUAUUUCUAUCACUACCCAGCAAGCAUCUGCAGCAUGACAUCCUCCAGAAGAAACAAUCAAGGGGACGUGAAGGUCUUUGGGAAGGAAAUGAUUCAUAAACUUCAUGACAAUCCUCAAAGGAGAGUAAUGAAAUACUCACCUCCCUGCUGUGCCUGGCCUCCCUAAUGGGAAUGAAGUGGCCGGGACAGAAGGAUACAAAAUGGCAGACACCAUCAGGAGGGCCCUCUUAGCACCUCUUUGCCAAAUCUCGAUUUCCUCACCUUUUCCUGAAGCCGGAUGUUAUCCCACACCUUGGUGCACACCAUACACUCAAACGCAUCGAUGUAGUUGUCCUGGUGGACAUCCUGCACUCCCCAUUUCCGUUCCCUGAGUGCUGUGAGAAGUCGCUGAUUGGAGACCUCACCCUUCAGCUUCCAUUCUAUGUAGGCCUCGUACAUCCUGUCGUCAUGAUCCAGUUGUCUGAUGUAAUUUGCCAAUUCUCUAGGGUGAGCAAAUUCUGAUACGAGAAUAGCACUUCUGUUACUUGGGAGCCAGUCCGCAAUGCUGGGGGACCCAUAAUACACAGGGACCACCCCCAGUUUCAGAGGUCUCCAGAACUUCUCGGUGAUGUAGUCGUCACACACUGCAUUCUCAAAGGCCAGGAUAAACUUAUACUGUGCAAUGAUCCUAUAAAAGCCAUCGGCAUCCAUAGAGGCUGGAUUUUUCAGCUGCUGAGGGAGAUCUUUGUUUCGUAAACACUCACCGUAGGAAUCGACCUCGAUAUAAGUCAUCAGCUCUCGAACAUAGCUGUCCCUGUCUGACGGCGGGUCACAGUCUGACUGGAUAUAUACCAGUGGAGCAAGUCUUCUUCGAAGGUUGUUUUUGGACCGCAAAGGGACUAGGUAUCGGAGUGACUUCAGGACUUCUACACCCUCCAAGUACUGGGUGGUCAGUGGCAAGUGGGAAUGCCGGCUGAAGGUGGCUGUGUAGUUGAACAAGGUGAUGACUGGCUUGUGAAAGAGCUUAUAAUUGUUUUUCGGAGACUCUUCAUGAAAAAGGGCCCAGUCGUGGUGGGCUUUCCGAGGCAGAGGUAAGCUAUCUAUAUUAAAGUCAGUGCCUAGAAGAAGAAAAGAAAAUAUUAGUGUGUGCAAGAGAAUUUUAGUGUUCAGCUUGGAAUCCACCUGGUAAGAUUAGAAUACAGAGAAGUCUGAGGCCACAAAGAAGCAUGUGACCGUUUUGCCUGGGAUUCAGUCAUGAUGCUUUCACUCUAAAAAAUGCUCAGGGAGAGGAGCACCAAGGAAAGGGACAAUCUUUCUGAUUUUAUGAAAAGAGAAAUGGGAGUAGUGUCUAGCCUGGUUCUAAAGGGAGAAUUUCGGGAUGCCUGGGUGGCUCAGGACUUGAUUCCAGGGUCCUGGGUUUGGCCCUUGUGUUGGGCUCCCUUCUUAUUGGGGAGUCGACUUCUCCUUCUGCCUCUGCCCCUCCCCAUCUCCACUUGUGCUCUCUCGAGCUCUCUCUCUCUCUGUCUCAAAUAAAUACAUAAUAUCUUUUAAAAAAUAAAUAAAGGGAGAAUUUAUUCCACCGCCUCUGGCAAUUGGCUUUUCUUCCCACAGGUGUUGUCUAAGAGAGGGCAUGAGAAAUAAAUAGACAAUUCUUAAAAAAGAAAAGAGCAAGAGAAAGGAAGCCAAAGAGGGGAAAGCAACCAACUUGGCAGAUUGAUGAACUGAAAAAAAAGUGAAAUCAUGAAAAAGUCGCCAUAAUAAAUAUACAGGAUAGAUUUUUUUUCAUCCAAAAUGAUCGAUCUCAACAAAGUGCAGUGAAUCAAUCUUAGUCACAAUGGUAGACAAGAGGCUUUUAAAGACAAAACAGCUGAUAAUAGCACUAUGCUACAGACCGCUGCAGGAUGGACAUGAAUUAACAAGCACAUCAAGAAAUAAAGAAGGCAUAACAGGAUUAUAAUUAUGAGUGAUUCUGGCUUCCACAGGAUUAAUUGGGAAACCUUUGAAACACGAUCAUGUGCAGACAGAAGUGAUGGAUGUGGUGAGCCGCUGUUUCCUGACAGCGUGGAUGGAGACUCAAUCAGGAAGAAGUUAUUUCUAUAACUGAGAAAGGAUUAAGAUAAUACUGCAAUACAUAACGCAGAAUUUCUAAAGUGUUCCUGACACUGAUGAUUUUGUAGCCCCUACUUGAGUUUUUAAGCAUAAGGAAAUGGCAAAAAACAAAUUCCCCUUCCAUCAUUCACUGGGGGAAAAAAGGCC
This is a long non-coding RNA of Canis lupus familiaris (dog), 2653 nucleotides long. RefSeq lists it as uncharacterized. NCBI's taxonomy places the organism in Eukaryota, Metazoa, Chordata, Mammalia, Carnivora, Canidae. The record is from RefSeq and is a predicted model, not a curated record. The transcript has 4 exons.